UAGUCCACGCCGUAAACGAUGGUCACUAGUUGUUGGGGCUUUAUGCCUCAGUGAUUAAGCGAAAGUGAUAAGUGACCCACCUGGGGAGUACGAUCGCAAGAUUGAAACUCAAAGGAAUUGACGGGGGCCCGCACAAGCGGUGGAGCAUGUGGUUUAAUUCGAUGAUACGCGAGGAACCUUACCAGGGCUUAAAUGUAAGUUGCAUAGACCAGAGAUGGUCUUUUCUUCGGACUACUUACAAGGUGCUGCAUGGUUGUCGUCAGCUCGUGCCGUGAGGUGUCAGGUUAAGUCCUAUAACGAGCGCAACCCCUACCGUUAGUUGCCAGCAAGUAAAGUUGGGGACUCUAGCGGGACUGCCGGUGCAAACCGAGUGGAAGGUGGGGAUGACGUCAAAUCAUCACGCCCCUUAUGUUCUGGGCUACACACGUGCUACAAUGGUUAGGACAAAGAGUCGCCAACUUGCAAAAAGUGAGCUAAAUCUCGUAAACCUAAAUCUCAGUUCGGAUCGCAGGCUGCAAA
RNAcentral lists this ribosomal RNA (519 nucleotides) under uncultured bacterium. RNAcentral describes it as "bacterial SSU rRNA". It matches the Rfam family "Bacterial small subunit ribosomal RNA", at positions 791 to 1311 of the family's 1533-position model. The record is from RNAcentral.